GUACCAAAAAAUUAAAAAAAAUAAAAACCACAUGAAUGAGUAGAUGUAAAGGAACGAGUCACAAGGUUACACUAUCAUCCAUUCUCUGAAUUCCUCUGAGUCACAGACCAAAAUGACAGUGAUUUAUGACCCACUGACAAACGGAUUUUAGUAUAAAUAAGAAACCAGAUACCAGUUGAUGCGGAAAGAAUUAUGGGUAACACAAAAUAAUACUUGAGAUCAAAAUGACAGAGUAAUGAUCAGCAGCAAAAUACAGACUCUCUGGGACCUUGAAUCCAGACACACAGAAAAUAACAACUUGGAAAAGAGAAAAAGAAAAGCGUUAGAUCUCCAGGAAUUGGAAAGAAACUGAACAUUAGAAACUGCAGAGAAGCUGGACUAAUGGAGCACAAUGCAGAGGAAAGAAUGAAGCAAACGGGAGAGCUCACUCUGGCUCCUGGGGAGAGGAACCUAUCUCUACAGACACAAGGUCCAGAAGCUCACUUUACAGCAAAGCCAAGGUCUGAGAGACAAGCGCUGGCGAAAGAAAGUUUUCACUCAGUGACCAAAGAAUGGAAAACCAGGAUCCAUGCUCACGGAUCAAAUUCCAGUCAUGGCUCCUGGUGUCUUUAGUCCUGAAGGAGAAAAGGAAAGAUCAGGUGUCUUAGACGUUCCUCAUUGCUGGGACAGGAUACCUGACGCCUGCAACUUAAAGGAAGAGAGGUUUAUUUUGGCUCACACUUCACAAGUUUUCAUCCACAUCAGGCAGAAACAGCAUAGCAGAAGGGCCUGGAGCGGGGAAAGCUGCUCAGCUCAUGGUGGCCAGCAAGCAGAGCAAGGAGCCAGGAAGGGAGGUGGACGCUUCCAGGCCACCUUCCAACAGCACACUCAGCUGCGGAACCACCAGCA
Molecule: long non-coding RNA, 888 nt
Filed under: Heterocephalus glaber (naked mole-rat)
Lineage: Eukaryota; Metazoa; Chordata; Mammalia; Rodentia; Bathyergidae
Description: lncRNA (ENSHGLG00000029156.2)
Source: RNAcentral